RNAcentral lists this transfer RNA (65 nucleotides) under Camelus bactrianus (Bactrian camel). It matches the Rfam family "tRNA". Rfam says of the family: Transfer RNA (tRNA) molecules are approximately 80 nucleotides in length. Their secondary structure includes four short double-helical elements and three loops (D, anti-codon, and T loops). Further hydrogen bonds mediate the characteristic L-shaped molecular structure. tRNAs have two regions of fundamental functional importance: the anti-codon, which is responsible for specific mRNA codon recognition, and the 3' end, to which the tRNAs corresponding amino acid is attached (by aminoacyl-tRNA synthetases). tRNAs cope with the degeneracy of the genetic code in two manners: having more than one tRNA (with a specific anti-codon) for a particular amino acid; and 'wobble' base-pairing, i.e. permitting non-standard base-pairing at the 3rd anti-codon position. The record is from Rfam by way of RNAcentral. RNAcentral also lists the same sequence under 2 other names. Lineage: Eukaryota; Metazoa; Chordata; Mammalia; Artiodactyla; Camelidae.
GAGGGUAUAGCUCAGUGGUAGAGUGUGCAUGCACAAGGACCUGGGUUCAAUCCCCAGUACCUUUA